RNAcentral lists this ribosomal RNA (1522 nucleotides) under Bacillus atrophaeus. RNAcentral describes it as "bacterial SSU rRNA". It matches the Rfam family "Bacterial small subunit ribosomal RNA". The record is from RNAcentral. Lineage: Bacteria; Bacillati; Bacillota; Bacilli; Caryophanales; Bacillaceae.
UUAGAGUUUUGAAUCUGGCUCAGGACGAACGCUGGCGGCGUGCCUAAUACAUGCAAGUCGAGCGGACAGAAGGGAGCUUGCUCCCGGAUGUUAGCGGCGGACGGGUGAGUAACACGUGGGUAACCUGCCUGUAAGACUGGGAUAACUCCGGGAAACCGGAGCUAAUACCGGAUAGUUCCUUGAACCGCAUGGUUCAAGGAUGAAAGACGGUUUCGGCUGUCACUUACAGAUGGACCCGCGGCGCAUUAGCUAGUUGGUGGGGUAAUGGCUCACCAAGGCGACGAUGCGUAGCCGACCUGAGAGGGUGAUCGGCCACACUGGGACUGAGACACGGCCCAGACUCCUACGGGAGGCAGCAGUAGGGAAUCUUCCGCAAUGGACGAAAGUCUGACGGAGCAACGCCGCGUGAGUGAUGAAGGUUUUCGGAUCGUAAAGCUCUGUUGUUAGGGAAGAACAAGUGCGAGAGUAACUGCUCGCACCUUGACGGUACCUAACCAGAAAGCCACGGCUAACUACGUGCCAGCAGCCGCGGUAAUACGUAGGUGGCAAGCGUUGUCCGGAAUUAUUGGGCGUAAAGGGCUCGCAGGCGGUUUCUUAAGUCUGAUGUGAAAGCCCCCGGCUCAACCGGGGAGGGUCAUUGGAAACUGGGAAACUUGAGUGCAGAAGAGGAGAGUGGAAUUCCACGUGUAGCGGUGAAAUGCGUAGAGAUGUGGAGGAACACCAGUGGCGAAGGCGACUCUCUGGUCUGUAACUGACGCUGAGGAGCGAAAGCGUGGGGAGCGAACAGGAUUAGAUACCCUGGUAGUCCACGCCGUAAACGAUGAGUGCUAAGUGUUAGGGGGUUUCCGCCCCUUAGUGCUGCAGCUAACGCAUUAAGCACUCCGCCUGGGGAGUACGGUCGCAAGACUGAAACUCAAAGGAAUUGACGGGGGCCCGCACAAGCGGUGGAGCAUGUGGUUUAAUUCGAAGCAACGCGAAGAACCUUACCAGGUCUUGACAUCCUCUGACAACCCUAGAGAUAGGGCUUUCCCUUCGGGGACAGAGUGACAGGUGGUGCAUGGUUGUCGUCAGCUCGUGUCGUGAGAUGUUGGGUUAAGUCCCGCAACGAGCGCAACCCUUGAUCUUAGUUGCCAGCAUUCAGUUGGGCACUCUAAGGUGACUGCCGGUGACAAACCGGAGGAAGGUGGGGAUGACGUCAAAUCAUCAUGCCCCUUAUGACCUGGGCUACACACGUGCUACAAUGGACAGAACAAAGGGCUGCAAGACCGCAAGGUUUAGCCAAUCCCAUAAAUCUGUUCUCAGUUCGGAUCGCAGUCUGCAACUCGACUGCGUGAAGCUGGAAUCGCUAGUAAUCGCGGAUCAGCAUGCCGCGGUUGAAUACGUUCCCGGGCCUUGUACACACCGCCCGUCACACCACGAGAGUUUGCAACACCCGAAGUCGGUGAGGUAACCUUUAUGGAGCCAGCCGCCGAAGGUGGGGCAGAUGAUUGGGGUGAAGUCGUACAGGGGGUAACCCGUAAAA